CCUGUCAAGGAGGAUAUAUGUGGGUCAGUGACUUCCCCCUCUCCGGAGCACGCAGCAAACCCCGGCUGCGAGGCCAGUGGACCUUCACAGCCCCCAUAAUGCAUCUUUUCCCCUAGUUUUAAAGAUGUACAUAAUCUUUGCAUAUUCGAGAAAUAUACAGAAACGAAAGUAAAAUUAUCCCACAGUCCUCUCACCCAGAGAUACAGCUCACGACAAGGUUCUCUCUGUGCGUUUUUUCUAAAAAGUGUACUUUGGUUACUUUUUAAUUUCCAUAUGAAUACAGGAAAAAACUACUGCCCAUGCCUGUGUCAGGGUGCAAUGAUAUUCUUUCUAGAAAGUUCUGGCUUCCUGUGGAGGUUGCCUCACUCCAGGAAGCUGUGACGGACCCAACUGAUCGCCCAUAGCUCUGAAAACAGUGGUGGCAUCCCUUGCCCCCCCCCCCCUGCUGCAGUCCUCUGGGUGCUGACAGCUGGGAGCUGGGACGGCAGCGAGCAGAACACACAGAAACAAGAAAACACCUUGCGGUCGCCGACGGACAGGCUGCUGAGAACUUCCGGGACAACAGUCCUUGCAAAGGCCAUGACUCCUCUCACUUCCCAUAGCUGGAAUAAACAAAGACAUGCUGACAUAA
Peromyscus maniculatus bairdii (prairie deer mouse) is the source of this 631-nucleotide non-coding RNA. NCBI's taxonomy places the organism in Eukaryota, Metazoa, Chordata, Mammalia, Rodentia, Cricetidae. The record is from RefSeq and is a predicted model, not a curated record.